AACGUAGGAGACAAACGUUAUCCGGAGUUACUGGGCGUAAAGGGCGUGUAGGCGGUCUGUUAAGUCUGGCGUGAAAGCUCUCGGCUAAACCGGGAGAGGUCGUUGGAUACUGGCAGACUAGAGGACGGUAGAGGCGUGUGGAAUUCCGGGUGUAGUGGUGAAAUGCGUAGAGAUCCGGAGGAACACCAGUGGCGAAGGCGACACGCUGGGCCGUACCUGACGCUGAGACGCGAAAGCGUGGGGAGCGAACAGG
RNAcentral lists this ribosomal RNA (253 nucleotides) under uncultured bacterium. RNAcentral's name for it is "partial 16S ribosomal RNA". It matches the Rfam family "Bacterial small subunit ribosomal RNA", at positions 524 to 776 of the family's 1533-position model. The record is from RNAcentral.